UUUGAGUGGAAACUACUUGUUACUUUCUUGUGGAAGUUUUCUAGCAUGUACUAGUGCAAAAAAUUCCUCUCUACCUCCAAUGGCAAGAGGAUUGACAUUCAGUGCAGGACUCACAGCCCUUAUUGCUCUUGCACUAGUCCAUGAAACACUCAGUGCUAAUGAUCAUUACUGUCCCCCUUUUUCCUGUGGCAAUAUCCCCAACAUAAGCUUUCCUUUUCGAUUGAAAAGCGAUCCAGAAAUCUGCGGGGACUCAAGGUAUGAACUGUCAUGUGAGAACAAUCGAACGGUGUUACACUUAUUUGCUGGAAAAUACUACGUACAAAAAAUCAAUUACAAUAACUACACAAUCAGGGUUGCAGACUCUGGUAUACACAACGACAAUUACUUCUCCACCACCCCGAGUUUUUCCUUAUAUCGCUAUAAUUUCAGUAAUGGAUAUCAGUCUACAUAUACCACUUAUCAGCCAAAGUUAGCAAAGUCGGAGCCGUAUGAGUACCGGAGGAAGAAUUCAAAUAUGGAGUACGUGAAUCCUGUACUAUCAAGGAAUGUGGUUUUCAUGAGCUGUGAUAAACCAGUGAAUUCUCCUUACUAUUUGGACACUUCUACUUGCAUCAACAACUCUUCUAAUUAUAUAUCUCGUUCCAAGAGGUAUAGAUAUGUUAAAGUUGGUAGAACGAAUGCAACCGAAGUGGCUGACUCGUGCCGAGUAGAGAAGAUAACUCGGACAUCGUGGUCAAGAAAUGAUGACCAUAAUGUAUCCUGUAAAGAUGUCCACAAUGAAUUGGUAUAUGGUUUUGAGAUUUCAUGGUUCGGAGGUAAUUGUAAAAGUAUUUGCGGAAGACAGUACGAGUAUUGCUACCUCAAUGACACGAACCAUGUUCAAUGCUCCGGCAAGCUCAAUGUGUUCCAGGUCAUACUGAUCAGCUUUUGCUCGAAACAUGGAUAUUUUUUAUGCAAAGGUAAGGUAUCGGCACAAGUUGUUUUUGUUUUGUUUUGUAUUUUUUUUUUUCCCACAACGCAAUUGCACGAGUUGUGUGUGCUUGAUCUCCAACUUUUACCCCUUCACUUAGAUCUUAGAAACUAUGAAAAAAAAAACGAUUACCUAGUUGAUAACGGUGUAGCAACAUCACUCGUUUCAAAUGGGUUUUUCGAUGAUGAUCCUGCAGUGUCACACCUUGCAGUAAAAGAUUUACUUGGGACUCCAUGUGUGGUUGCAUUUAUAAUUUAUAAAUGGCGUAGGAGGAAUUUGUCAAUGUAUGACGCCAUUGAAGAAUUUUUGGAAAGCCAUAACAACCUCAUGCCCAUAAGGUACUCCUACCCAGAAAUUAAGAAGAUGACCAAUGGUUUCGCAGAGAAAUUGGGAGAAGGAGGCUAUGGCUCUGCAUUUAAAGGAAAGCUUCAAAGUGGUCAUCUUGUAGCUAUAAAGAUGUUGGAUAAAUCCAAAGCCAAUGGCCAAGAUUUUAUUAGUGAAGUUGCAACAAUUGGAAUGAUUCACCAAACAAAUGUUGUGCAACUCAUUGGCUUUUGUGUUGAGGGACUAAAGCAUGCUCUUGUAUAUGAAUUUAUGCCUAAUGGUUCUCUCGACAAAUACAUUUUUUCUCAAGAAAGAAGUAUCUCCCUAAGUAUUGAGAAAAUAUAUGAGAUUUCUCUUGGAGUAGGUCGUGGGAUUGAAUAUCUACAUCAAGGAUGUGACAUGCAAAUUCUACAUUUUGAUAUCAAGCCUCAUAAUAUUCUUCUUGAUGAGAACUUCAUCCCAAAAGUUUCUGAUUGGGCUAGCAAAACUGUAUCCUCCAGAUGAUAGCAUAGUUUCUUUGACUGCUGCAAGAGGAACACUAGGAUAUAUGGCCCCAGAGUUGUUCUAUAAGAACAUUGGAGGCAUCUCCUAUAAAGCUGAUGUUUAUAGUUUCGGCACGUUAUUAUUGGAAAUGGCAAGCAGAAGAAAGAACUUUAAUGAAUCUACUGACCACUCAAGCCAAAUUUACUUUCCAACUUGGGUCUAUGACCAACUUUGCGAAGGAAAUGACAUAGUAAUGGAAAAUGCAACGGAGGGGGAGAAGGAAAAAAUUAAGAAGAUGAUCAUAGUUGCAUUAUGGUGCAUACAAAUGAAGCCUAGUGAUCGACCUUCAAUGAAUAAAGCUGUAGAAAUGCUUGAAGGAGGAGUUGAAUACUUGCAAAUGCCUUCCAAGCCUUUCCUAUCAUCACAAGGGGAUGUAGGAGACAACUUAAAUCCAACUUGCUCAUCAGUUCAAUCAAGUGAAUCAAGUCAAUCAAGUGAAUCAAAUCAAUCAAGUGAAUCAAAUCAAUUAGCUCAAUUUAAAUGCAAAGCAUUUGAUAAAGUUGAUUUAUAUGGGAUUGUUUUAGGAAUUUUAGGUGUUGGCUAA
Molecule: RNA transcript, 2381 nt
Organism: Quercus lobata
Lineage: Eukaryota; Viridiplantae; Streptophyta; Magnoliopsida; Fagales; Fagaceae
Exons: 3
Source: RefSeq, a predicted model, not a curated record